Long non-coding RNA from Mytilus californianus (California mussel), 1323 nucleotides. RefSeq lists it as uncharacterized. The record is from RefSeq and is a predicted model, not a curated record. The transcript has 3 exons. Lineage: Eukaryota; Metazoa; Mollusca; Bivalvia; Mytilida; Mytilidae.
AAGGAAAUUUACAUGACCAUCCAACAGUACCGAAUGAACACCUCAGAAUGUACUAUGUAAAUGAGGGUAUAUUCGGAAGUUUUCUGACAUGUUUGAUUGAUCCGGGGUGUUAUGUAUCUUCACACUUUAAAGGCAAUCAUGAAGAGGUAUUGUAUAACAGUACUAUUUGGGGACCAACUUCCGCUGCAGUGGAUUUAGUUAUAGACAAAAUCAAACUACCCGACCUAUCUACUGGAGAUUGGAUAUACUUCAAAGAUGUGGGAGCAUACUCCUAUACUACAGCAACCAAUUUUAACAGUAUGCCAAGAGUCGAGGAGUACUUCACAUGUGAAAAGAAAUUAUGGGAACAAGUAUAUCAACAUGAUCAAUUUUAGCUGCCGUCUUGAUAUAGCAUAGCACAAAAUGAAUAUAAAAUGACUUCGUAUAUGACGUACUGUAACAUUUAUUACUCUUGUUAUAUAUCAUUUACUGUAUAUUAUUGCUCGUACAAUUGAAAACAUGUCCCGGAUAGGAGAAGAUAUUUAAAAUAGAUAAAAUUUUUAUAUUGGUAUUGAAGAUCCAAUCUGGUGCCCGAUCAAUGGACAAAGCUGCCUUUACUGGUUUACCUUGCUAUAUUCGAAUGUCGUGUGAAUUCAUAUUGAAAGAUAAGAGAAGGGACAAAGAUGAACAAGUUUAUGAGUGCUAAUCAGACUAUAUAUGCAUAUACACCUACACUUAAAUACAAAUUACUUCCAAUGAUCUUCGAAUAUUGUGACAGAAAACACGUUUUCCAUAUUAAAAAACAUAGGCGUAUUCGAUUGAGGGGACUGAGGCUACAUAUAUGGUUAAUACAUACACUUUUCACUUAUAAUAUGUUGACUACUUUACUACUUUGGGUCACCCUUUUUCAACAUCCAGGAUCUGCAUCUGAUUUAAACCAAAUGAUAUAUAAAAAAAACUGCUAAGCCAAAACCACAAAAUACCCAUCCCCCAAAUUGUGCAUUAUAAUUGACUAAGUUAUCACCCGGUGUUCAUUUCAAAAGGAAUUUCAUUUUCUCCAAGAUCGCCAAUAAAGAAGGGAUUCUCCUAUGAAAUAUAUAGAUUGAUCUAUAAUUUCGUAACUAGUGUUUGAAAUAUCAUGUUUGUGAACAACCACUUCAAUGAUUGAGUAUAACAGCUUUUCUUGUUUUUGAAUGCACUGUUUUAUGUGUAUAUUAUAAUUGUUGUCGAUGUGUCACUUAACGCAGACAUAAGUGUCACUUGUUUACUAUUCUUUUCUGAGUCGACAUGUUUUUUUUUUAUUUUAAAAGUGAUUUUAAAAUUAAAUUUUUAAUACCUCUUCUU